CACGUAGGGUGCGAGCGUUGUCCGGAAUUAUUGGGCGUAAAGAGCUCGUAGGCGGUGUGUCGCGUCGGCCGUGAAAACCUGCAGCUUAACUGUGGGCUUGCGGUCGAUACGGGCAUCACUGGAGUUCGGCAGGGGAGACUGGAAUUCCUGGUGUAGCGGUGAAAUGCGCAGAUAUCAGGAGGAACACCGGUGGCGAAGGCGGCUCUCUGGACCGAUACUGGACGCUGAAGGCGCGAAAGCGUGGGGAGCAAACAGG
This 256-nucleotide ribosomal RNA is filed under the name uncultured bacterium. RNAcentral describes it as "partial 16S ribosomal RNA". It matches the Rfam family "Bacterial small subunit ribosomal RNA", at positions 524 to 776 of the family's 1533-position model. The record is from RNAcentral.